GAGAUUCCCCCAGUAGCGGCGAGCGAACGGGGAGCAGCCCAGAGCCUGAAUCAGUGUGUGUGUUAGUGGAAGCGUCUGGAAAGGCGUGCGAUACAGGGUGACAGCCCCGUACACAAAAAUGCACAUAUUGUGAGCUCGAUGAGUAGGGCGGGACACGUGGUAUCCUGUCUGAAUAUGGGGGGACCAUCCUCCAAGGCUAAAUACUCCUGACUGACCGAUAGUGAACAAGUACCGUGAGGGAAAGGCGAAAAGAAC
Molecule: ribosomal RNA, 255 nt
Filed under: Escherichia coli
Lineage: Bacteria; Pseudomonadati; Pseudomonadota; Gammaproteobacteria; Enterobacterales; Enterobacteriaceae
Description: partial 23S ribosomal RNA
Rfam family: Bacterial large subunit ribosomal RNA
Source: RNAcentral